UACUGCCACAAUGAGGCCAACCAAAGUCCAAGAAAUUAACACCGGUUUUACCUCACUCACAGGACAUGGACAUAAAAUACAAGCUUUAAGGAAAACCCAUGGCGUCUGGCGUCCAUGAAGGGAGACUACAGGAGAUUAGAUUAACAUGCUAUCACAGUACAAACGUAAUAGAGUGUGUCCAUCCAAAACUCUGACUGACUGCAGAAAACCCCAGAGGACACUGCAUACUUUCACCCUGCCCUAACAUGUGCGCACACACACACACACACACACACACACACACACACACACACACACACACACACACACACACACACACACACACACACACACACACACACACACACACACACACACACACACACACACACACACACACACAUACACAAUUACACAUAACCCCUCUCAGCUGCUUGUACAAUCACCACACCCGUCUGACAUGACAUCAGCCUGUGAUGUCAUCAUGGGACCAAUGCUGGCAUGAUGUCCAGUGCAACUUCAUCAUCAGCAUCAUCAUCCCUUGGCAGUGGUGGAUGAGCCUGGGAUGGGAGGCAGCUGGAUUGUAACAAUUCCUUCACCCUUUGCACAUGUCACUCUGUGUAUGUGUGUGUGUGUGUGUGUGUGUGUGUGUGUGUGUGUGUGUGUGUGUGUGUGUGUGUGUGUGUGUGUGUGUGUGUGUGUGUGUGUGUGUGUGUGUGUGUGUGUGUGUGUGUGUGUGUGUGUGUGUGUAUGCAAAGGGAGCAAAGGGGAGGCUAAAAGACGCAAUUGCUCUAAUUCAAACAAUCUGAGCCAGAUGCAGCUUGGCUUUCUUUGGCCACUUCAUCUUGUUUAUAAUGUACUCUCUGGACAGAGUCACAUCGUGUUUGUCAAUAUUUCAACCAAAAGGUAAAUAUUAGAGUGACAGUGCUUAUUAAAGAGGAAAAGGAGAGGAGGAAUGUGAUGGAGGGGGGAGACAGAAAUAAGCGGAGAGGGGAGAAAAGAUUCAAAACUCAAGGGAAGAGAGUCAAGAGUCAGAGGAAGGGAACAAGAUGGUAUGAUGGGACUGGACAGGACAGGAUGGGGUGGGAUGACAGGCAAAGGCGAGGCAUGACAGGAUGGGAUGGGACUGGACAGGGAAUUGUAAGGUGGGGCUGCACAAGGUGGGGCAGGACAGGAAAAGUGGUACAAAAAUAUGAUGACAGGGCAGAAAGCAGAUUGGAUAGGUGCAUUUUGGAAGAGAAUGGUUAGUGGAAAGGAAAAAUACAGGGAAAUAAUAUGAGGACAAAAAGAUGAAAUUAUAAAAUGAGUCAAUUUGGGGAUGUUUGCCUUCAACUUUUUCUAUGAUAAAUGUUAUUUUCACAAUGGAGAGCAGUGCAUUAUCACAAUUACGAAGAUGGCAUUGCCAAGAAGAGGCAACAUAGCAAAAAAAGUUUGUCUAUUUCUCAGUACUUUUAUACUUCACCACCCUGUACGUGGCACACUGGCCCAAACUCAUUGGUGAAGAUGUAAAUCUUUAAAAAUGGGUCUUGAAUAUAUACUUUCAUACUUUAAAAAAAAAAGGUUAAAUAAUCUAAAACAGCUUGGCACUGUAGUUUCCUGAAAACUUUACUCAAACCACAGUAAAUAGUGGGUUUGUUGGGGACUUUUAGCUGUGGACUUGAUGUGCUGGUGAGGUUUUAACAUUCAGUAAAUCACUCUGAUGAAAGCCCAGCACUGAAACGCGUUGGUAAAAUAAAGAAGAUUCUUCCACGAGUCAGUUGCCAAGUUCUUGUUUUUUUUCUUACACUAGUGAGUUUUUUAAGACAACAGGACAGUGUGUGAGGAAUUAACUCAAAAUAAACCACAGCACAGUGCCUGAGAGCGUUUUAAUAAAGACACAUGUCACCCAGUGCAAUGCUGUGACUUAUUGAUGUAGUUUUUGAACAACAAUGAAGCUCUAUGGUACAGAGGUAUACGUUAUUUAAGGUUUUAUUAUACUUUUUUCAUGGGAUUUGUUGACAUCAAGUAAAAUUAUACUGUAGAAUAUCACCAAACUGAUCCUUUAGAGAGAAUUUCAUCAGGCUCCAUGCAGUAUGUGGGUUUAAAUGUGAAUUUUGCUAUGAGCAUUAUGCUAUAGAUGGAAUUUAUUGAUGUGUUUAAAUGGUUUUAGCUGCUGCACUUUAUGUCUUCUUAUCCAAUGUAUUUACGAUAUUUACUUCCCUUUUAUUGCCUCUGAUAUGUACUGAUAUGGUUAUAUUGAUUUCCUGAUUGCUUCCUGUAUGAAUUUAUGUGUUCAUUUUUGUGUUUAUGUUGUUUUUCUAGCUUUGUCAUUAAAUAUUUGCAUUGGACCUACAGUAAGUAUACAAGGUCUUUUUUUCCCAUGUUGGAUCUUCCACCACCUAAGUUUUUUAUUGUGAAAGCAGUGCAUAUAUAAAAUCAUGUAGCUGUCAUUCACUAACGAGGAUUUGGACCAGUUGUACUAGUUCAGUCAUUCACUGCGUAUUCCAUAAAGAUAAGACUGAUGAACUCUGCAUGUGUCAGAAAAUGUCAACCCAAUGCUGCCUUGAUGACAGCUAACUAUGAUUGUGUUUCGCUACGAGUGUUUUUCCCUGCAAAUCGUUCUGGCUCAUCCAAACCAACUGUUUAUGAAACCUUAUCAUGAGAAGCUGCAGCACUCCGGCGCCUCUGCAGUGAGCGCAUCCUGGAAACUACCACAGUGUUACAACACACCUGGAGCCCAUCCCAGAGACAGACAGAUAGACAGACAGAGACGGAUGGAUGAACCCACAAACUCAUUGCCUGUGACAGCAUCCCAGCUCUCAUGGCAGCCCCUUCCAUUUUUUACCAAUUUAUUUAUUUAUUUUUUUGUCUUCAUUCAGAGCAGCCCGUGCAAAUUUGGGAGACGCUCUCUCUAUCUCACUGGCUGUCAGGCAUUAUCGUGCUGCCAUUCUGUAUAGAUCACCUCCAGAUGUUGUCAUGUAUAGUUCACAUUCAGUAAAGUAAAUUCAUCUAGGCACGUAAAAUGAGAAAUAAACUGCCUUUUACUGUA
Scomber scombrus (Atlantic mackerel) is the source of this 3007-nucleotide long non-coding RNA. RefSeq lists it as uncharacterized. The transcript has 2 exons. Lineage: Eukaryota; Metazoa; Chordata; Actinopteri; Scombriformes; Scombridae. The record is from RefSeq and is a predicted model, not a curated record.